CCUACGGGGGGCUGCAGUGGGGAAUAUUGCGCAAUGGGCGAAAGCCUGACGCAGCGACGCCGCGUGAGGGACGAAGGCCUUCGGGUUGUAAACCUCUUUCAGCGGGGACGAAGCGAAAGUGACGGUACCCGCAGAAGAAGCACCGGCUAACUACGUGCCAGCAGCCGCGGUAAUACGUAGGGUGCAAGCAUUGUCCGGAUUUAUUGGGCGUAAAGAGCUCGUAGGCGGCUUGUCACGUCGGAUGUGAAAACUCGGGGCUCAACCCCGAGCCUGCAUUCGAUACGGGCUAGCUAGAGUGUUGCAGGGGAGACUGGAAUUCCUGGUGUAGCGGUGAAAUGCGCAGAUAUCAGGAGGAACACCGGUGGCGAAGGCGGGUCUCUGGGCAACUACUGACGCUGAGGAGCGAAAGCGUGGGGAGCGAACAGGCUUAGAUACCCCAGUAGUC
This 445-nucleotide ribosomal RNA is filed under the name uncultured Sporichthya sp. RNAcentral describes it as "bacterial SSU rRNA". It matches the Rfam family "Bacterial small subunit ribosomal RNA", at positions 338 to 795 of the family's 1533-position model. Lineage: Bacteria; Bacillati; Actinomycetota; Actinomycetes; Sporichthyales; Sporichthyaceae. The record is from RNAcentral.